UGGCGGCAGGCUUAACACAUGCAAGUCGAGCGGUAGCAGAUCUAGCUUGCUAGAUGUUGACGAGCGGCGGACGGGUGAGUAACGCGUAGGAACCUGCCCAGUAGUGGGGGAUAGCCCGGGGAAACUCGGAUUAAUACCGCAUACGCUCUACGGAGGAAAGAGGGGCUUCGGGCUCUCGCUAUUGGAUGGGCCUGCGUGAGAUUAGCUAGUUGGUGAGGUAAUGGCUCACCAAGGCGACGAUCUCUAGCUGGUCUGAGAGGAUGAUCAGCCACACUGGGACUGAGACACGGCCCAGACUCCUACGGGAGGCAGCAGUGGGGAAUAUUGCACAAUGGGCGCAAGCCUGAUGCAGCCAUGCCGCGUGUGUGAAGAAGGCUUUCGGGUUGUAAAGCACUUUCAGUGGGGAGGAAGGCCUCGUAGUUAAUAGCUGCGAGGAUUGACGUUACCCACAGAAGAAGCACCGGCUAACUCCGUG
RNAcentral lists this ribosomal RNA (475 nucleotides) under uncultured bacterium. RNAcentral's name for it is "bacterial SSU rRNA". It matches the Rfam family "Bacterial small subunit ribosomal RNA", at positions 37 to 507 of the family's 1533-position model. The record is from RNAcentral.